RNAcentral lists this ribosomal RNA (407 nucleotides) under uncultured bacterium. Its description in RNAcentral is "bacterial SSU rRNA". It matches the Rfam family "Bacterial small subunit ribosomal RNA", at positions 29 to 480 of the family's 1533-position model. The record is from RNAcentral.
AGCGAACGCUGGCGGCAGGCUUAACACAUGCAAGUCGAACGGAUCCUUCGGGAUUAGUGGCGGACGGGUGAGUAACACGUGGGGACGUGCCCUUAGGUUCGGAACAACACAGGGAAACUUGUGCUAAUACCGGAUGUGCCCCUUACGGGGAACGAUUUAUCGCCUUUGGAGCGGCCCGCGUCUGAUUAGUUUGUUGGUGAGGUAAAGGCUCACCAAGGCUACGAUCAGUAGCUGGUCUGAGAGGAUGGCCAGCCACAUUGGGACUGAGACACGGCCCAAACUCCUACGGGAGGCAGCAGUGGGGAAUCUUGCGCAAUGGGCGAAAGCCUGACGCAGCCAUGCCGCGUGGAUGAUGAAGUCUUAGGAUUAGUAAAAUCCUUUCAGCGGGGACGAUAAUGACGGUACCC